UCUCUAGCCCACCCUCAGAGACUGUGAUGCUGUAGGUCUGGAGGGGGGUGUAAUGUACAAAUGGAUAUGUAUUUUAAAAUCCCUCCAGUGGAUUCCAGUGCACCAUCAGGGCUGGAAAUCCGCAUCAGCGCUGGAUCAAGGAGGCAAGACAGGUGCUCCCCAGUGCGGGCAGCUCGUUGGGGCAACUGGACAAGCUGGGCAGUUGCAGUCUCAGUUACUUCAACAACUCCCCGAUGCCGCCCGAGACUGCACGUGAAGGGUUCACAUGGAGUGGAAACAACGGCGAAGUAUGUCUACAGGCCUGAGCCUGCAUCGCAAAUGGCAGGAGACAGGCAGGUGAGGCGCGUCUCAGCUCAGGUGCGGCUGCAGUGCGGCGAAUGGGCACAGGGGGGCAGUGUGGCCCCGUGUGGCUUGGCAGCCCUCUACCGCGGAAGGAGGCCUGGCCGGGGCUGGCACCCAGGCUCCAGCAGAGCCCCGGCCUGGUGAGGGGCUGUCCGGCCACCUUCCUCCCCUCCCAGCUCAGGCCCUGUCCUACAGAACCUGGCUCUCGGGGGAGUAAAGUUCCUGCAACAUUUACUGAGUGUGAAUUUUCUCAUGGCAAACACUGUCCUGGGUUAUUUCGUUUGAUCUUCACACCAAUCCGAGGCAGGCAUGUUAUUCCCCUUCUAGAAAGAGGAAGCCACAGCUCAGGGAAGCUGAUGAACUUCCUGGCAGGUGGCAGGCCACGACCGAGACUCAAGUCUGUCUGACUCCAGGCCAAGUCGUCUUCACGUUCCGCCACUGCUCCUUUGUACAGGCACAGGUGUGACGAGGACGCUCCAUUUCAUUACUAAGUGGCCAGCUGCAGGUCACAGAAAGAAAGAAAAAGGGAGAGGAGCCAAGAAUUUGAAAACCAGCGACUUAAACUCCUGGCCCCUGCUCUUGUUUGGAAGGCUCAGAUCCUAAAACCGGAAAAACAGAGCCAACAGGCCUGGUCCUGUGUGAGGAGGACACGCAAAUCCGUGGAGCGUUCCACAUGUUUCCAGGGAGGAUGAAAUGUUCUGGAGAUGGACAGAGACGAGUGGUUGUACAACUGUGCCAAUGUCCCUAAUGCCACUGAACUGCAUAUUUAAAAUAGCUGAAUGGGGAAGGGUUGGAAAUGCAAUAUGUUGUGGGACACAGAAACUAACCUGAAAAACGCAUCUUGGAAAAUAAAGAAAAAUCUGUUCCUUAUUCUCUGGUCGCCAUCCAGACUGAAGAUGCCGCAUCACCCUCACUGAGUCAUCACCUCUGCUUUCAAAGCCUCGUUCCUUCCUCCUGGCUCUUCCGGGGACUCACACAAACCUUGGGACUGGAAGGGACCUGAGAAGUUUUCUGAGCCCGCCGUGGCUUGGGUCUCCCUGGAUGGCGUACAUUUUUAGGCGAUCUCUGCAUGACCCUCUCUCUCCUUCUGAGGUAUAAGAUUGACGACGAUCAAGAACGAGCUCCCUUCAGUUUCAGAGACUUUAAGGAAAACUAUACAGAAAGGAGCUCUUUUGUAAAGGAUCAGAAGAAGAGAAAACGAUAGGGGUUUGUUUCUUGCUGGCCUGCCCUCUUCCUCACACGUCUCUGUUCCUGCAUGAAGCAGCACUGUGUGGACAAAUGCCAGGGCGGUCAUCCACAGAUCUGGAGUCGGCUGUCCCUCAUGGAUGGGGCCCAGAGGCUCCCACCUGCAGCACUGACGGCCAUUGGGGUCCUUUCCACAGAACCACUGAGGGUCUGUCUCAUCUGUGGGCUCGUAAGGAAACGGCACAGUGAGCAAGCCAGCUCAUCACCACAUUCCUGAAGCUUGUCUCGUUAUAGUUGGAGCCCCUAAAUUUGGCUUAGGAGCCUGCUUGACCCGGGGCUUCCUGGAGACCUAUGAUCUUGUGAUUACAAGACCGGGGCGGUGAUGCUGUACAGGGGUCAGUUUAGGUCAGUGUGUUUCAACUGCAGGUCAUGACCGUCAGUGGCUCAAGAAAUCAAUUUUGUGGGGCCGGCCUGGUGGCACAGCAGUUAAGUUGGCACGUUCCACUUUGGCAGCAUGGGGUUUGACGGUUUGGAUCCUGGGUGCAGACCUACACACUGC
Long non-coding RNA from Equus quagga, 2086 nucleotides. RefSeq lists it as uncharacterized. The transcript has 6 exons. The record is from RefSeq and is a predicted model, not a curated record. Lineage: Eukaryota; Metazoa; Chordata; Mammalia; Perissodactyla; Equidae.